CGGCGAGCGAACGGGGAGCAGCCCAGAGCCUGAAUCAGUGUGUGUGUUAGUGGAAGCGUCUGGAAAAGCGCGCGAUACAGGGUGACAGCCCCGUACACAAAAAUGCACAUGCUGUGAGCUCGAUGAGUAGGGCGGGACACGUGGUAUCCUGUCUGAAUAUGGGGGGACCAUCCUCCAAGGCUAAAUACUCCUGACUGACCGAUAGUGAACCAGUACCGUGAGGGAAAGGCGAAAAGAACCCCGGCGAGGGGAGUGAAAAAGAACCUGAAACCGUGUACGUACAAGCAGUGGGAGCACAGAGCAAUCUGUGUGACUGCGUACCUUUUGUAUAAUGGGUCAGCGACUUAUAUUCUGUAGCAAGGUUAACCGAAUAGGGGAGCCGAAGGGAAACCGAGUCUUAACUGGGCGUUAAGUUGCAGGGUAUAGACCCGAAACCCGGUGAUCUAGCCAUGGGCAGGUUGAAGGUUGGGUAACACUAACUGGAGGACCGAACCGACUAAUGUUGAAAAAUUAGCGGAUGACUUGUGGCUGGGGGUGAAAGGCCAAUCAAACCGGGAGAUAGCUGGUUCUCCCCGAAAGCUAUUUAGGUAGCGCCUCGUGAAUUCAUCUCCGGGGGUAGAGCACUGUUUCGGCAAGGGGGUCAUCCCGACUUACCAACCCGAUGCAAACUGCGAAUACCGGAGAAUGUUAUCACGGGAGACACACGGCGGGUGCUAACGUCCGUCGUGAAGAGGGAAACAACCCAGACCGCCAGCUAAGGUCCCAAAGUCAUGGUUAAGUGGGAAACGAUGUGGGAAGGCCCAGACAGCCAGGAUGUUGGCUUAGAAGCAGCCAUCAUUUAAAGAAAGCGUAAUAGCUCACUGGUCGAGUCGGCCUGCGCGGAAGAUGUAACGGGGCUAAACCAUGCACCGAAGCUGCGGCAGCGACGCUUAUGCGUUGUUGGGUAGGGGAGCGUUCUGUAAGCCUGCGAAGGUGUGCUGUGAGGCAUGCUGGAGGUAUCAGAAGUGCGAAUGCUGACAUAAGUAACGAUAAAGCGGGUGAAAAGCCCGCUCGCCGGAAGACCAAGGGUUCCUGUCCAACGUUAAUCGGGGCAGGGUGAGUCGACCCCUAAGGCGAGGCCGAAAGGCGUAGUCGAUGGGAAACAGGUUAAUAUUCCUGUACUUGGUGUUACUGCGAAGGGGGGACGGAGAAGGCUAUGUUGGCCGGGCGACGGUUGUCCCGGUUUAAGCGUGUAGGCUGGUU
This 1242-nucleotide ribosomal RNA is filed under the name Escherichia coli. Its description in RNAcentral is "partial 23S ribosomal RNA". It matches the Rfam family "Bacterial large subunit ribosomal RNA", at positions 247 to 1530 of the family's 2925-position model. Lineage: Bacteria; Pseudomonadati; Pseudomonadota; Gammaproteobacteria; Enterobacterales; Enterobacteriaceae. The record is from RNAcentral.